GAUGAAGAACGCAGCGAAAUGCGAUAAGUAAUGUGAAUUGCAGAAUUCAGUGAAUCAUCGAAUCUUUGAACGCACAUUGCGCCCCCUGGAAUUCCGGGGGGCAUGCCUGUUCGAGCGUCUCAGGGACGAACCCUCGCGUGGGUGUACGCGCGGUCGUGGCUGCGGUGGCGUGCCCGAGGCGGCGGCCACCGCGCUGGAAUCCAUGGGCGGACGCCUGCCGCGUGGCCGAGCGUGAUAUGACGCAUUGGCGCUCGCACGCGGCGAGGCUGCCAGCCCUGGCCCGUCUGUCGGGCGGGGGAGAGCAAGACACGUGAACUCCUCGCAUCAGGUAGGGAUACCCGCUGAACUUAAGCAUAUCAAUAAGCGGAGGA
This 371-nucleotide unclassified non-coding RNA is filed under the name soil metagenome. RNAcentral describes it as "partial contains 5.8S ribosomal RNA, internal transcribed spacer 2, and large subunit ribosomal RNA". The stretch from base 1 to 120 matches the Rfam family "5.8S ribosomal RNA", at positions 35 to 154 of the family's 154-position model. The record is from RNAcentral.